UACGUAGGGUGCGAGCGUUAAUCGGAAUUACUGGGCGUAAAGCGUGCGCAGGCGGUAAGUUAAGUCUGAUGUGAAAGCCCCGGGCUCAACCUGGGAACGGCAUUGGAAACUGGCUUGCUGGAGUGUGGCAGAGGGGGGUGGAAUUCCGCGUGUAGCAGUGAAAUGCGUAGAGAUGCGGAGGAACACCGAUGGCGAAGGCAGCCCCCUGGGCCAACACUGACGCUCAGGCACGAAAGCGCGGGGAGCGAACAGG
RNAcentral lists this ribosomal RNA (253 nucleotides) under uncultured bacterium. RNAcentral describes it as "partial 16S ribosomal RNA". It matches the Rfam family "Bacterial small subunit ribosomal RNA", at positions 524 to 776 of the family's 1533-position model. The record is from RNAcentral.